AGGUGCGAAGGCGAAACCUACUUCGACUCAUAAUCGGGCGGCCGCGGGUUCGAGUCCCGUCACCG
Molecule: transfer RNA, 65 nt
Filed under: Streptomyces sp. H27-H1
Lineage: Bacteria; Bacillati; Actinomycetota; Actinomycetes; Kitasatosporales; Streptomycetaceae
Also listed under: 1 other name
Description: tRNA-Met
Source: RNAcentral